CUGGAUUUCCUCCUACUCAUCGCCAGAUCGUACUUCAGUUUUCAGUGAGACUGCCAUGCAUGCUUCCCGCUCUCGUGCUGAUCACUUCCCUGUCUGCUGCUGAACCUGCCUGCCUUUGCCUGAGCUCCAGUUACCCUCUGUGUGAGUACGCCGGAGAGAGGGACUGCUCCACUCUGUACUCACGGUGCCAUUACCACAGGGGGAACUCCAAAUAAAAGACUUGUAUUUUCACAAUCCA
Molecule: long non-coding RNA, 238 nt
Organism: Notolabrus celidotus (New Zealand spotty)
Lineage: Eukaryota; Metazoa; Chordata; Actinopteri; Labriformes; Labridae
Exons: 2
Source: RefSeq, a predicted model, not a curated record